UACGAAGGGGGCUAGCGUUGCUCGGAAUCACUGGGCGUAAAGCGCACGUAGGCGGCUUUCUAAGUCAGGGGUGAAAUCCUGGAGCUCAACUCCAGAACUGCCCUUGAUACUGGAAAGCUUGAGUUCGGGAGAGGUGAGUGGAACUGCGAGUGUAGAGGUGAAAUUCGUAGAUAUUCGCAAGAACACCAGUGGCGAAGGCGGCUCACUGGCCCGAUACUGACGCGGAGGUGCGAAAGCGUGGGGAGCAAACAGG
This 253-nucleotide ribosomal RNA is filed under the name uncultured bacterium. RNAcentral's name for it is "partial 16S ribosomal RNA". It matches the Rfam family "Bacterial small subunit ribosomal RNA", at positions 524 to 776 of the family's 1533-position model. The record is from RNAcentral.